This 1265-nucleotide ribosomal RNA is filed under the name Chlamisus sp. N29. RNAcentral describes it as "12S ribosomal RNA". The stretch from base 825 to 1265 matches the Rfam family "Bacterial large subunit ribosomal RNA", at positions 2048 to 2706 of the family's 2925-position model. The record is from RNAcentral. Lineage: Eukaryota; Metazoa; Arthropoda; Insecta; Coleoptera; Chrysomelidae.
UAUUACUGGGUUGUUACUAUAAUUUUUAUUUGUUAUUUUACUAAAAUUAAUAUAUUUGGUUUUAUUAUUUUAUGAAAAAAUUUAUUUAGUUUAUUAUUACUGUGAAGGAAAAUUUAUUUAAUAUAGAUUAAGAAUAAUUAAUUAUUAGUACCUUGUGUAUCAGGGUUUAUUAAAUUAAUUUGGGAAUUCAUUAGUCCCGAAUCAAGAAGAGCUAAUUAUAUAUUUUGUUAAUGUUGCAUAAUUAUUAUAAAUUUAUAGUUAGAAGCGAAAUACUAUUCGUUUUUUGAUAUAUCUGGUUUUUGAAGAAAUAAAUUUAAUUUAUUUAAUUAUAAUUAUUUAUAUAUUUAUUAUAGAUUUAUUUUUAAUUAGAAAAUUUACUUUGGGAUAAGCUUAGGUAAAUAAUUCUAUUUUUAUAGAAAUAAGGGUUUUAAUUUGUAGAAUUAAAAAUUUUUAUUAUUUAUAAUUUUGUUGUAAUUUAUUAAAAUGUAAAUUUUAUUUUUAUUUUAAAUAGGUUUUUAUUUGGAUAUUAAUUUUAAUUUUAUAGAUUAAUUAAUUAUGAUAGAAUUAGUAUAUUUGUUUGUAUAUUUAUAUUAUUUGUUGAAGGUGGAGUAGAGGAAUUCGGCAAAUAUAUUUUUCACCUGUUUAUUAAAAACAUGGCCUAUUGUGUUAUGAUUUUAGGUCUAACCUGCCCAAUGAUUAUUAUUUAAUGGCCGCAGUAUUUUAACUGUGCUAAGGUAGCAUAAUCAUUAGUUUUUUAAUUGGAAUCUGGAAUGAAGGGUUAAAUGAAAAAAUUUCUGUCUUUACUUUAUUAUUAAAAUUUUAUUUUUAAGUUAAAAAGCUUAAAUUUUAUUUAAAGACGAUAAGACCCUAUAGAGUUUUAUAAACAUAUUUUAAAGUAAAAUUGGUUUAUUAUUUUUUUUAUUGUAUUUUUAUUUGAUUGGGGUGAUUUUAAAAUUUAGUUAACUUUUAAAAUUUUUAUUACAAAUAAUAUUUGGUUUAAAUUUGUUUGAUCCAAUAAUUUUGAUUAACAGAAAAAAUUACCUUAGGGAUAACAGCGUUAUCUUUUCUUAGAGCUCUAAUCGAUGAAGAGGAUUGCGACCUCGAUGUUGGAUUAAAUUUAUUUGUAAAUGCAGAAGUUACAUUAAUUAGGUCUGUUCGACCUUUAAAAAUUUACAUGAUCUGAGUUUAGACCGGCGUGAGCCAGGUCGGUUUCUAUCUUAAAUUUGCGGGAUGAUUUUAGUACGAAAGGACCAAAUCUUUAAUUU